Molecule: ribosomal RNA, 527 nt
Filed under: uncultured bacterium
Lineage: Bacteria
Description: bacterial SSU rRNA
Rfam family: Bacterial small subunit ribosomal RNA
Source: RNAcentral
AACACGUGGGUAAUUUACCUUUGGGUGGGGAACAACAGCCGGAAACGGCUGCUAAUACCGCAUAAUGCAGCGGCUCGACAUCGAGACGGUUGUUAAAGCGGGGGAUCGCAAGACCUCGCGCCUAAAGAGAAGCCCGCGGCAGAUUAGCUAGUUGGUAGGGUAAUGGCCUACCAAGGCGACGAUCUGUAACCGGCCUGAGAGGGCGGUCGGUCACACUGACACUGACAUACGGGUCAGACUCCUACGGGAGGCAGCAGUCGGGAAUUUUGGGCAAUGGGCGAAAGCCUGACCCAGCAACGCCGCGUGAAGGAUGAAGCUUUUCGGAGUGUAAACUUCACAAGAAUGGGAAGAAUAAGUUUAGGCUAAUACCCUGAACGAUGACGGUACCAUUUGUAAGCUCCGGCUAACUCCGUGCCAGCAGCCGCGGUAAUACGGGGGGAGCAAGCGUUGUUCGGAUUUACUGGGCGUAAAGGGCGCGUAGGCGGCCCAACAAGUCACUUGUGAAAUCUCCGGGCUUAACCCCGGAG